GUGGGGAAUAUUGGACAAUGGGCGAAAGCCUGAUCCAGCCAUGUCGCGUGUGUGAAGAAGGUCUUCGGAUUGUAAAGCACUUUAAGUUGGGGGGAAGGGCAGUAAGUUAAUACCUUGCUGUUUUGACGUUACCGACAGAAUAAGCACCGGCUAACUUCGUGCCAGCAGCCGCGGUAAUACGAAGGGUGCAAGCGUUAAUCGGAAUUACUGGGCGUAAAGCGCGCGUAGGUGGUUUUGUAAGUUGGAGGUGAAAUCCCCGGGCUCAACCUGGGAACUGCCUCCAAAACUGCAUGACUAGAGUACGGUAGAGGGUAGUGGAAUUUCCUGUGUAGCGGUGAAAUGCGUAGAUAUAGGAAGGAACACCAGUGGCGAAGGCGACUACCUGGACUGAUACUGACACUGAGGUGCGAAAGCGUGGGGAGCAAACAGGAUUAGAAACCCCAGUAGUCC
RNAcentral lists this ribosomal RNA (450 nucleotides) under uncultured bacterium. RNAcentral's name for it is "partial 16S ribosomal RNA". It matches the Rfam family "Bacterial small subunit ribosomal RNA", at positions 354 to 796 of the family's 1533-position model. The record is from RNAcentral.